RNAcentral lists this ribosomal RNA (423 nucleotides) under uncultured bacterium. RNAcentral's name for it is "bacterial SSU rRNA". It matches the Rfam family "Bacterial small subunit ribosomal RNA", at positions 355 to 772 of the family's 1533-position model. The record is from RNAcentral.
UGGGGAAUAUUGGACAAUGGGCGCAAGCCUGAUCCAGCCAUGCCGCGUGGGUGCAGAAGGCCUUCGGGUUGUAAAGCCCUUUUGUCCGGAAAGAAAUCCUGUCGGUUAAUACCCGGCGGGGAUGACGGUACCAUUUAUAAGCUCCGGCUAACUAAGUGCCAGCAGCCGCGGUAAUACGUAGGGAGCAAGCGUUGUUCGGAUUUACUGGGCGUAAAGGGCGCGUAGGCGGCGCGGUAAGUCACUUGUGAAAUCUCUGAGCUUAACUCAGAACGGCCAAGUGNUACUGCUGUGCUAGAGUGCGGAAGAGGCAACCGGAAUUCUUGGUGUAGCGGUGAAAUGCGUAGAUAUCAAGAGGAACACCUGAGGCGAAGGCGGGUUGCUGGGCCGACACUGACGCUGAUGCGCGAAAGCCAGGGGAGCAAA